This 632-nucleotide ribosomal RNA is filed under the name fungal endophyte. RNAcentral describes it as "eukaryotic LSU rRNA". It matches the Rfam family "Eukaryotic large subunit ribosomal RNA", at positions 1 to 600 of the family's 3401-position model. The record is from RNAcentral. Lineage: Eukaryota; Fungi.
UCGGAGGGAUUCUAGCCGUUAAACCCCCAAUUUUCUAAAGGUUGACCUCGGAUCAGGUAGGAAUACCCGCUGAACUUAAGCAUAUCAAUAAGCGGAGGAAAAGAAACCAACAGGGAUUGCCUCAGUAACGGCGAGUGAAGCGGCAACAGCUCAAAUUUGAAAUCUGGUCCUUGCGGCCCGAGUUGUAAUUUGCAGAGGAUGCUUUUGGCGCGGUGCCUUCCAAGUUCCCUGGAACGGGACGCCUUAGAGGGUGAGAGCCCCGUACGGUUGGACACCAAGCCUUUGUAAAGCUCCUUCGACGAGUCGAGUAGUUUGGGAAUGCUGCUCUAAAUGGGAGGUAUAUUUCUUCUAAAGCUAAAUACCGGCCAGAGACCGAUAGCGCACAAGUAGAGUGAUCGAAAGAUGAAAAGCACUUUGAAAAGAGGGUUAAACAGCACGUGAAAUUGUUAAAAGGGAAGCGCUUGUGACCAGACUUGCGCCCGGUGAAUCACCCAGCUCUCGCGGCUGGGGCACUUUGCCGGCUCAGGCCAGCAUCAGCUUGCCGUCGGGGACAAAAGCUUCGGGAACGUAGCUCUCUUCGGGGAGUGUUAUAGCCCGUUGCACAAUACCCUUCGGCGGGCUGAGGUACGCGU